GACGAACGCUGGCGGCGUGCUUAACACAUGCAAGUCGAACGGAAAGGCCCUGCUUGCAGGGUACUCGAGUGGCGAACGGGUGAGUAACACGUGGGUGAUCUGCCCUGCACUUCGGGAUAAGCCUGGGAAACUGGGUCUAAUACCGGGUAGGAGCCAUUUUUAGUGUGAUGGUUGGAAAGUUUUUUCGGUGUAGGAUGAGCUCGCGGCCUAUCAGCUUGUUGGUGGGGUAAUGGCCUACCAAGGCGGCGACGGGUAGCCGGCCUGAGAGGGUGGACGGCCACAUUGGGACUGAGAUACGGCCCAGACUCCGACGGGAGGCAGCAGUGGGGAAUAUUGCACAAUGGGCGCAAGCCUGAUGCAGCGACGCCGCGUGGGGGAUGACGGCCUUCGGGUUGUAAACUCCUUUCGCUAGGGACGAAGCUUUUUGUGACGGUACCUAGAUAAGAAGCACCGGCUAACUACGUG
Molecule: ribosomal RNA, 465 nt
Filed under: uncultured bacterium
Lineage: Bacteria
Description: partial 16S ribosomal RNA
Rfam family: Bacterial small subunit ribosomal RNA
Source: RNAcentral